Jaculus jaculus (lesser Egyptian jerboa) is the source of this 634-nucleotide long non-coding RNA. RefSeq lists it as uncharacterized. The transcript has 3 exons. Lineage: Eukaryota; Metazoa; Chordata; Mammalia; Rodentia; Dipodidae. The record is from RefSeq and is a predicted model, not a curated record.
UGGGAAAACCAUGUGCCCGGUUUACAGAACUCCCGCCUUAGGAAAAGCAAGCCAUCCUGGAGACCUCAGGUCACAGCUAAUUGCCACUUGAGGUUCUUUACAUCACAUGCAACCAACCAAUCCUGAAUGAGGCUAAGUCAGGGCCUACAUCAGAAAAGGGCAUCCAGGGAUACGGCUGUGGAUGGAGAGGCAGAAGACCUGCAGGAGACAAAGGAUUGGUCAGAAACAUGGUGAAAGGUGUGAGAAUAAGACUAAGAAAGGAAAAGUGUCAGAAGGGUCAAGAACGCCUGGAUAGCUGAGCGCCGCGGCACCCUGUAGUCCCUGCACCAAGAGGCUGACGAGGGAGAACUGGAUUGCAGCACCUUUCACGCCAGUGUGGACUACAUAGUGACUUCUAGGCCCUGACUCAGAAGUGCCUUGAGACCUUGUCUCAGACAAACAAACAAACCAACGCAAACCUUAUUCUACUACAGACAGAGAUCAGGAGAGAGAACCCUUCUUCAGGGAAGGAGUUAAGGACACAGGCCCCAGAGAACACAGACGUAAGGGCUUUGACACUUUUCCCAACUGUAAACAAAUUAUUUAGAUAUUCUAGACAUCCCCCUUGCUUUAAUUUGAUUCAAGUCAUGCUAAA